RNAcentral lists this ribosomal RNA (753 nucleotides) under uncultured Glomus. RNAcentral's name for it is "SSU rRNA". It matches the Rfam family "Eukaryotic small subunit ribosomal RNA", at positions 338 to 1092 of the family's 1831-position model. Lineage: Eukaryota; Fungi; Glomeromycota; Glomeromycetes; Glomerales; Glomeraceae. The record is from RNAcentral.
GGCCUACCAUGGUGGUAACGGGUAACGGGGUGUUAGGGCACGACACCGGAGAGGGAGCCUGAGAAACGGCUACCACAUCCAAGGAUGGCAGCAGGCGCGCAAAUUACCCAAUCCCGACACGGGGAGGUAGUGACAAUAAAUAACAAUACGGGGUUCUUUUGGAUUUCGUAAUUGGAAUGAGUACAAUUUAAAUCUCUUAACGAGGAACAAUUGGAGGGCAAGUCUGGUGCCAGCAGCCGCGGUAAUUCCAGCUCCAAUAGCGUAUAUUAAAGUUGUUGCAGUUAAAAAGCUCGUAGUUGAAUUUCGGGGUCAGCAGGUUGGUCGUGCCACUGGUAUGAACUGGCCUUGCUGAUUCCUCCUUCUUGAAGAACCGUGAUGCCAUUAAUUUGUUGUUGCGGGGAAACAGGACUGUUACUUUGAAAAAAUUAGAGUGUUUAAAGCAGGCUAACGCCUGAAUACAUUAGCAUGGAAUAAUAAAAUAGGACGUUUGAUCCUAUUUUGUUGGUUUCUAGGGUUGACGUAAUGAUUAAUAGGGAUAGUUGGGGGCAUUAGUAUUCAAUUGUCAGAGGUGAAAUUCUUGGAUUUAUUGAAGACUAACUACUGCGAAAGCAUUUGCCAAGGAUGUUUUCAUUAAUCAAGAACGAAAGUUAGGGGAUCGAAGACGAUCAGAUACCGUCGUAGUCUUAACCAUAAACUAUGCCGACUAGGGAUCGGAUGAUGUUAAUUUUAUAAUGACUCAUUCGGCACCUUACG